GUCUAUUUGAAGAUAUAAAAAGUCUAGCCUGCCCACUGAUAUAAAAAUUUUUAAGGGCCGCGGUAUUUCUGACUGUGCAAAGGUAGCAUAAUCGUUAGUUUUUUAAUUGGAAUCUUGUAUGAAUGGUUUGACAAGAAAAAAUCUGUCUUUGUAAUUACUUAUUGAAUUUAACUUUUAAGUGAAAAGGCUUAAAUGAUUUAAAAAGACGAUAAGACCCUAUAAAACUUAAUAUUAAUUAACUAUUCAAAUAAAAUUUUAAGUAUAUAAAUAUUUAUUAGUUAAUUUUUAUUUUAUUGGGGUGAUAAUGGUAAAAUGGUUAUUAACUGUUAAUUGUUUUAUAACAAAAAUUGUUGAAUAAAAAAUUAAAAUAAAUGAUCCUUAUUAAAGAUUAAAAGUUUAAGUUACUUUAGGGAUAACAGCGUUAUUUUUUUUGAGAGUUCUUAUCGAGAAAAAAGUUUGCGACCUCGAUGUUGAAUUAAAAUAUCUAUAUAAUUGUAGCAGUUAUAUAAGAAGGUCUGUUCGACCUUUAAAUUUUUACAUGAUUUGAGUUCAAACCGGUGUGAGCCAGGUUGGUUUCUAUCUUUUAAUAUAUUGAAAAUUAU
This 602-nucleotide ribosomal RNA is filed under the name Muradium tetragonum. Its description in RNAcentral is "partial 16S ribosomal RNA". It matches the Rfam family "Bacterial large subunit ribosomal RNA", at positions 1831 to 2663 of the family's 2925-position model. Lineage: Eukaryota; Metazoa; Arthropoda; Malacostraca; Decapoda; Sesarmidae. The record is from RNAcentral.